This 425-nucleotide ribosomal RNA is filed under the name uncultured bacterium. RNAcentral describes it as "partial 16S ribosomal RNA". It matches the Rfam family "Bacterial small subunit ribosomal RNA", at positions 354 to 796 of the family's 1533-position model. The record is from RNAcentral.
GUGGGGAAUAUUGCACAAUGGGGGAAACCCUGAUGCAGCGACGCCGCGUGAGUGAAGAAGUAUUUCGGUACGUAAAGCUCUAUCAGCAAGGAAGAAAAUGACGGUACUUGACUAAGAAGCCCCGGCUAACUACGUGCCAGCAGCCGCGGUAAUACGUAGGGGGCAAGCGUUAUCCGGAUUUACUGGGUGUAAAGGGAGCGUAGACGGAAUGGCAAGUCUGAAGUGAAAUCCUGCGGCUUAACUGCAGAAUUGCUUUGGAAACUGUCAAUCUGGAGUGUUGGAGAGGUAAGCGGAAUUCCUGGUGUAGCGGUGAAAUGCGUAGAUAUCAGGAAGAACACCGGAGGCGAAGGCGGCUUACUGGACAAUAACUGACGUUGAGGCUCGAAAGCGUGGGAAGCAAACAGGAUUAGAUACCCUGGUAGUCC